AUACGUAGGGGGCGAGCGUUGUCCGGAAUGACUGGGCGUAAAGGGCGUGUAGGCGGCGGUGUAAGUCUGGAGUGAAAGUCCCGCAUUCAAUGUGGGAAUUGCUUUGGAUACUGCAGUGCUAGAGUGCGGCAGAGGUAAGUGGAAUUCCCAGUGUAGCGGUGAAAUGCGUAGAGAUUGGGAGGAACACCAGUGGCGAAGGCGACUUACUGGGCCGUAACUGACGCUGAGGCGCGAAAGCGUGGGGAGCGAACAGGAUUAGAUACCCUGGUAGUCCACGCGGUAAACGAUGAAUGCUAGGUGUUGCGGGUAUCGACUCCUGCAGUGCCGGAGUAAACACAAUAAGCAUUCCGCCUGGGGAGUACGGCCGCAAGGUUGAAACUCAAAUGAAUUGACGGGG
RNAcentral lists this ribosomal RNA (397 nucleotides) under uncultured bacterium. RNAcentral's name for it is "partial 16S ribosomal RNA". It matches the Rfam family "Bacterial small subunit ribosomal RNA", at positions 523 to 918 of the family's 1533-position model. The record is from RNAcentral.